GUGAAGCCCAGCUUGCUGGGUGGAUCAGUGGCGAACGGGUGAGUAACACGUGAGCAACCUGCCCUCCACUUCGGGAUAAGCCUUGGAAACGGGGUCUAAUACCGGAUAUGAGCUCGCAUCGCAUGGUGUGGGUUGGAAAGUUUUUCGGUGGGGGAUGGGCUCGCGGCCUAUCAGCUUGUUGGUGGGGUGAUGGCCUACCAAGGCGUCGACGGGUAGCCGGCCUGAGAGGGCGACCGGCCACACUGGGACUGAGACACGGCCCAGACUCCUACGGGAGGCAGCAGUGGGGAAUAUUGCACAAUGGGCGCAAGCCUGAUGCAGCGACGCCGCGUGAGGGAUGACGGCCUUCGGGUUGUAAACCUCUUUCAGCAGGGAAGAAGCGCAAGUGACGGUACCUGCAGAAGAAGCGCCGGCUAACUACGUGCCAGCAGCCGCGGUAAUACGUAGGGCGCAAGCGUUGUCCGGAAUUAUUGGGCGUAAAGAGCUCGUAGGCGGUCUGUCGCGUCUGGUGUGAAAUCCCGAGGCUCAACCUCGGGCUUGCAUCGGGUACGGGCAGACUAGAGUGCGGUAGGGGAGACUGGAAUUCCUGGUGUAGCGGUGGAAUGCGCAGAUAUCAGGAGGAACACCGAUGGCGAAGGCAGGUCUCUGGGCCGCAACUGACGCUGAGGAGCGAAAGCAUGGGGAGCGAACAGGAUUAGAUACCCUGGUAGUCCAUGCCGUAAACGUUGGGCACUAGGUGUGGGGCUCAUUCCACGAGUUCCGUGCCGCAGCUAACGCAUUAAGUGCCCCGCCUGGGGAGUACGGCCGCAAGGCUAAAACUCAAAGGAAUUGACGGGGGCCCGCACAAGCGGCGGAGCAUGCGGAUUAAUUCGAUGCAACGCGAAGAACCUUACCAAGGCUUGACAUGUACGAGAAAGCCCCCGAGACGGGGUUCUCUUUGGACACUCGUACACAGGUGGUGCAUGGUUGUCGUCAGCUCGUGUCGUGAGAUGUUGGGUUAAGUCCCGCAACGAGCGCAACCCUCGUCCUAUGUUGCCAGCGGGUUAUGCCGGGGUCUCAUGGGAGACUGCCGGGGUCAACUCGGAGGAAGGUGGGGAUGACGUCAAAUCAUCAUGCCCCUUAUGUCUUGGGCUUCACGCAUGCUACAAUGGCCGGUACAGAGGGCUGCGAUACCGUAAGGUGGAGCGAAUCCCAAAAAGCCGGUCUCAGUUG
RNAcentral lists this ribosomal RNA (1212 nucleotides) under uncultured bacterium. Its description in RNAcentral is "bacterial SSU rRNA". It matches the Rfam family "Bacterial small subunit ribosomal RNA", at positions 68 to 1294 of the family's 1533-position model. The record is from RNAcentral.